Long non-coding RNA from Tetranychus urticae (two-spotted spider mite), 956 nucleotides. RefSeq lists it as uncharacterized. The record is from RefSeq and is a predicted model, not a curated record. Lineage: Eukaryota; Metazoa; Arthropoda; Arachnida; Trombidiformes; Tetranychidae.
UCGCUUCUUCCCCCUCUUUACUUGAGUCAACCAAUGACGUCAUGUAAAACGUCAGUUUAAAAAAGUCCAAAAAAGAUUCAAAUUUUUUAGUAGCUUGGGCUAAUAAACAGUAAGGAUUUUUAACUUGUGAGUGGUUUCAACUGGGCUACAAAUUAGUGCAAAAAUAAGUCAAUUUGUUGACUUAUCGCGAGUUUAAUGCGAGUUUCUUGGUGAUUCAAAGAAGUCACUUACCUUCUUUCUUGUUCUAUAUAUUUGUUUACAUUGGAUCAUGUGAUUGCGAUGUCUUUUUAUAUUGUGAUGAACAAAUUGCUGUCAUCAGUUAAUAAUAAAUAGAUAAAGAGGAUUUAGCUAUCAACAGACAUGAACGUGAUUGGAAAUAUCGAUAUGCAAUUUAUGAGAGUUAACCAAUCCGGAUCUGCACUGGACCAGUCUUCUGGUGUUGUCGAGGAACACGGAAAAUCCAUGAUAGAGACAAAAAGUGAUGAAGUAGCCGACUAAUUAGUUUAAGAUCAAGAUGUUGUUGAGGAAUUUACUGAAGCUCCUAGUGUUCUACCGAUCAACACAGAUGAUUUUCUGGUUGGAAAUAAAACUACAGACUUGAUAGAGAUUGGUGAUCUUAUUCAACUUUCAGAUUCAUCAAUAGAUCCAAAUGUAUGUGAAUCAAAUGACCGAUCAAUCUGUGAAUCUGGAACAGUUUAAACUAAAACAACAGAUAUGGUUAUCGAUAUCGUAGCAGAGGAUAUUGAACUAAUAAAAUUUGAUGACUCGAUCCAGUUAAAAUCAGAGUCUGGAAAAGAUAAUAUGAUAAUUUUGAUAUCUGAAGAUGGAGAGGAAUCGAAAGAAUUAAGCAAUUCAUCAAGUACAGAAUUUCCUGAAGUUAUUCAAGUGAAGAUUAAGAAAAUCAACAAGUUGGAUGAUGUCUUAUGAUGAUAUUGAUGAGCUUGAAAAUGGCCAAG